UUUACCAAAAACAUAGCUUACAAGAAAAAUUUUAGGUGGAACCUGGUCAAUGGAGAGUAUAAAUAAAAACUCUUUAAAUUCAUGCCUUAGCGUGAGGGUAAUAAAGUAGCAUAAUAAAUAGGCAUUUAAUUGAUGUCUGGUAGGAAUGGUUAAACGAUUGUAAAUUUGUCUCAAAUUUUAAAAAAAAAAUUAAAUUAAUAGUUAAGAUUCUAUUUAAAUUAAGUUAGACAAAAAGACCCCAUAAACCUUUACUAUAGUCAAAUCAUUUUAAAAUAAAAUAUUUUUGAUAGGUAGUUUAGCUGGGGCAGCUAUCUUUUAUUAAAAAAGAAGAUUUUUAACUUUGUUUAUUAUAUAAAAUUAACAAAUAAAUUUUUAUCGUCCUUAUUAAAAUACUAAAUUUUAUAAUCUAAUAAAUAAAAGGUACUUUGGGGAUAACAGCGAAAUUAUAAAAAUAGAGAAGAAAUCCGCUUUUAUGUUUGCGACCUCGAUGUUGAAUUUAGUUUUCCUUUAGCUGCAGGGGGUUAAAAAGGUUAAACUGUUCGUUUAUUAAAAACUUACAUGAUUUGAGUUCAUUCC
RNAcentral lists this ribosomal RNA (576 nucleotides) under Halammohydra sp. s LT-2022. RNAcentral describes it as "partial large subunit ribosomal RNA". It matches the Rfam family "Bacterial large subunit ribosomal RNA", at positions 1803 to 2617 of the family's 2925-position model. The record is from RNAcentral. Lineage: Eukaryota; Metazoa; Cnidaria; Hydrozoa; Actinulida; Halammohydridae.